CAGCUCACUAUCAAGUUCAAAUAAUUAAGCCAAGCCAGGCAGUAGGCAUCACGUUGUUUUAGUUAUUUGCAAUGCUUUUGAAAUUAGUAGAACGUUGAAAUAUUUUCACGUAUAGAAUGGAAUAGGUUUAUUAAUUUGGGUAUGAACUCCGGUCAAUGGAAUAGCCUUUGUUUUUUUAUGUUGGAAUAAUAAGCCUCAAAAUUGAGAAGUUCUAAUGAUGAAUAUGUCAUCGAGUGUCAAGAAUAAAAGUUGGUAGUUCUAAUAAGAAUGUUGGAGAUAUUGGGCUUUUUAAGUGUUAGGAAGAAAUUAGGAGGCAAUCAGCUAUAGAUUUGAUAUUACAAUUUUUAUACCUACUAACUCAUAUAAUUUAAGUAGGUCCCGUCCUCUUGAAAAGAAAGACGCUUAUUAGGUAAUCCAACCUGUGACUCAACCUCUUUUUAAAGUAUGGAGGCUAUAUGGUUAAUUUCGUGUUUCCCAAAUCAAAUGAUAGAUAUGUCUUAUUCACUAGUUUUCAUUUUUUUCAGGUGUGCGCACAACACCGCGUUACUUAGUUCAACCAAUGAAUUCAUUUUUCUUUUCUUUUUUUAUAGGUAGAUAAUAUACAUAUUAUGCAAAUAAUAUACUUUUAAAAAAAUAUCAGCAUCUCUGAUUUAAAAUAUACUAAUUUUCAUAGGUAGGUAUAGGUAAAUCCAAUGUGUAAUUACUUAAUAAAGACAUUAAAUAUCGUG
Molecule: long non-coding RNA, 728 nt
Organism: Planococcus citri (citrus mealybug)
Lineage: Eukaryota; Metazoa; Arthropoda; Insecta; Hemiptera; Pseudococcidae
Exons: 2
Source: RefSeq, a predicted model, not a curated record